Molecule: ribosomal RNA, 253 nt
Filed under: uncultured bacterium
Lineage: Bacteria
Description: partial 16S ribosomal RNA
Rfam family: Bacterial small subunit ribosomal RNA
Source: RNAcentral
UACAGAGGUGGCAAGCGUUGUUCGGAAUUACUGGGCGUAAAGGGCGCGUAGGCGGCCAUCUAAGUCAGACGUGAAAUCCCCCGGCUUAACCUGGGAACUGCGUCUGAUACUGGAAGGCUUGAGUAUGGGAGAGGGAUGUAGAAUUCCAGGUGUAGCGGUGAAAUGCGUAGAUAUCAUUUGGAACGCCAAUGGUGAAAACAGGUAGCUGGGAGUGUGCUGACGCUGAGACACGAAAGCCAGGGGAGCAAACGGG